Molecule: ribosomal RNA, 271 nt
Filed under: uncultured bacterium
Lineage: Bacteria
Description: partial 16S ribosomal RNA
Rfam family: Bacterial small subunit ribosomal RNA
Source: RNAcentral
UACGGAGGGUGCAAGCGUUGUUCGGAAUUACUGGGCGUAAAGCGUGCGCAGGCGGUUGUGUAAGACAGGUGUGAAAUCCCCGGGCUCAACCUGGGAACUGCAUUUGUGACUGCAUAGCUAGAGUACGGCAGAGGGGGAUGGAAUUCCGCGUGUAGCAGUGAAAUGCGUAGAUAUGCGGAGGAACACCGAUGGCGAAGGCAAUCCCCUGGGCCUGUACUGACGCUCAUGCACGAAAGCGUGGGGAGCAAACAGGAUUAGAAACCCUUGUAGU